AUCCAGCUGACGGGUCCCAAAUAGGAUGAAACGCGAGUCCUGUAU
This is a non-coding RNA of Schistosoma curassoni, 45 nucleotides long. The record is from Rfam. NCBI's taxonomy places the organism in Eukaryota, Metazoa, Platyhelminthes, Trematoda, Strigeidida, Schistosomatidae.